This 66-nucleotide transfer RNA is filed under the name Cornitermes cumulans. RNAcentral describes it as "tRNA-Gly". The record is from RNAcentral. Lineage: Eukaryota; Metazoa; Arthropoda; Insecta; Blattodea; Termitidae.
ACCUGUCUAAUACAAUAAAGUAUACUUGACUUCCAAUCAAGAAAUUUGUGAAAAACAAGACAGGUA